This 2673-nucleotide ribosomal RNA is filed under the name Triticum aestivum (bread wheat). RNAcentral's name for it is "partial small subunit ribosomal RNA". Lineage: Eukaryota; Viridiplantae; Streptophyta; Magnoliopsida; Poales; Poaceae. The record is from RNAcentral.
AUGGAACCAAGGCAAACCGAGUGGCUUCCAGAUACUGCUCGGCAUUUGUUCUUGUCAUGUGAAGAAACAGAAGGUAUUUUGAAUGAUGCUCUGGAGAAAAAAUCCCCUGCCAUUCAAACACUGAUAUGUGAUAGCCAUGUGCGAAGCUCAUUGAAGCAUCUAUCAAAAUAUAGCUCUUUGCAUGCCUUAAAGCUCUGUAUUAGAGGCACAGAAUCAUUUCUUCUGAAAUCAAUGUAUCUGUAUCACCUGAGGUACCUUGAUCUCUCAGACAGUGAUAUCAAAGCACUUCCUGAAGAUAUAAGUAUUCUAUAUAACCUGCAAACGUUAGACCUUUCCAACUGCUAUCAUCUUGAUCGACUUCCGAGGCAAAUGAAGUAUAUGACUUCCCUCCGUCACCUCUACACUCUUGGAUGUCGCAACUUGAAGAGCAUGCCACCAGAACUAGGAAAACUCACUAAGCUGCAGACGCUUACAUUUUUUGCAGCAGCAGUUACUGGCACUGAUUGCAGUGAUGUUGCAGAGCUGCAGCAUUUAAACCUUGGUGGUCAGUUAGAGCUAUGUCAGAUAGAGAAUGUUAUAGAGGCAGAGGCAAAAGUGGCAAACCUUGGAAACAAGAAGGAUCUCAGAGAACUGACAUUAAGAUGGAAUUCUGUUUGUGACAGCAUGGUGCUCGACAAUUUCGAACCACAUGGUGGGUUGCAGGUUCUGAAGAUAUAUUCCUAUGGAGGAGAGUGCAUGGGUAUGCUGCAAAACAUGGUUGAGAUCCAUCUUUUCCAUUGUGAAAGAUUGCAAGUUUUGUUCAGAUGCAGUGCAAGCUUCACUUUUCCAAAACUGAAGGUACUAAUGCUAGAACGUUUGUUGGGUUUUGUAAGAUGGUGGGAAAUAGAUGAGAGGCAAGAAGAACAAACAAUAUUUCCUGUGCUUGAGAAGUUGUUUAUUAGUAAUUGUGGAAAGUUGGUAGCAUUACCUGAAGCACCAUUGCUGCAAGGACCUUGUGGUGAAGGUGGUUAUACAUUGGUACGCUCAGCGUUUCCUGCCCUAAAGGUACUCAAAAUGAAAGAGUUGGAGAGCUUUCGGAGAUGGGAUGCAGUCGAAGAGACUCAAGGAGAACAGAUAGUGUUUCCUUGUCUGGAGGAACUAUCAAUUGAGAAAUGUCCAAAGCUGACAGCGUUACCUGAAGCACCAUUGCUUCAAGAACCAUGUAGUGAAGGUGGUUAUAGAUUGGUACGUUCAGCCUUUCCUGCCUUAAAGGUGCUCAAAAUGAAAUGGUUGGGGAGCUUUCAGAGAUGGGAUGCAGUCGAAGGUACAUUGUUUCCCCACCUUGAGAAAUUGUCAGUCCAGAAAUGCCCAAAACUGGUAGCAUUGCCUGAAGCACCAAAACUCAGUGUAUUAGAAAUUGAAGAUGGCAAGCAAGAGAUCUCCGAUUCUGUAGAUAGAUAUUUGCCCUCAUUGACCAAUCUGAUACUGAAGCUAGAAAACACAGAAACAACAUCAGAGGUUGAGUGCACUUCAAUUGUAUUGGUGGACAGCAAGGAGAAAUGGAACCAGAAAUCCCCUCUUACAGUUAUGGAGCUAAGAUGCUGCAACUUGUUCUUUGGAUCGGGUGCAUUAGAGCCGUGUGAGUAUUUUGUAGAUCUUGAAAAGUUGGAAAUUGAUAGAUGCGAUGUGCUCGUCCACUGGCCAGAGAAAGUGUUCCAAAGCUUGGUGUCCUUGAGGAGCUUGGCGAUUACAAACUGUGAAAAUCUGAUUGGAUAUGCACAAGCUCCUCUUGAGCCAUUGGCGUCCGAAAGGAGUCAGCACCUGAGAGGUCUAGAGUCUCUUUGCUUAGAAAACUGCCCAAGUUUAGUAGAGAUGUUCAACGUCCCGGCAUCUCUCAAGAAAAUGAAUUUUGAUAGGUGCAUUAAGCUUGACUCCAUAUUCAGCAAGCAGCAGGGCAUGGCAGAGUUAGUCCAAGUAUCUUCUAGCAGUGAGGCAAUCAGGGCUGCAGCUGUAUCAGAGUUGCCAUCCUCACCCAUGAAUCACUUUUGUCCAUGCCUAGAAGAUCUACUUUUAUCUGGAUGUGGAAGCUUACCAGCGGUUCUGAACCUUCCUCCGUCUUUAAAGUACAUUCGUAUUGCUAGCUGUAGUAGUAUUCAAGUCCUAUCAUGCCAGCUGGGUGGGCUCCAGAAACCAGAAGUCACUACCUCCAUAAGCAGAAGUCCUAUCAUGCCACAGCCACCAGCAGCAGCAACACCAACUGCAAGAGAGCAUUUACUUCCUCCCCAUCUCGAAUCUCUAGUAAUAGUGGACUGUGCUGGCAUGUUGGGUGGGACUCUCCGUCUACCUGCACCCCUCAAGGGACCGCAGAUUAUGGGAAACAGUGGGCUGACAUCGCUGGAGUGUCUGUCGGGAGAGCACCCCCCAUCGCUGGAUGUCCUUUAUCUUGACAGAUGCAGUACCCUGGCAUCCCUGCCGAAUGAGCUGCAAGUAUACAGGUCUCUCGUGUAUCUUCAAAUUAGAGGCUGCCCUGCUAUAAAGAAGCUCCCUAGAUGCCUGCAGCAGCAACUGGGCAGCAUCAGCCGCAAACGACUAGAUGCCUGCUAUGAAGUAACGGAAUUCAAACCAUUGAAACCGAAGACAUGGAAGGAAAUACCGAGGCUAGUCCGUGAGCGGAGGCAGGCCUGCCGGAGCUGA